UAGUACUGGACUCGACCUUGAUCACUAAGUUGUCAUUUCCACUAGAGAACUGUGUCUGUAAAAUGCACCUUGCGUUAAGAUAUAUCUUGUUGGUUGUGAUAAACUAUUUAUUUUCGUUUAUUAUUGCUGAUGAACCCAUUUUGGUGACCGAUCAGUUGAAGAGGACAAAAAGACAAUCCCCUGAGUUUCCGGAUGAUAUUUUUAGGUUUUUAAAUUAUUUAUGGAACCCCGGAUUAUAUUUUUGGUACGACCCAACAGGGAACAUCAGGAUACCCGGACCGAUUAUCACCAACGCCACAACUUACAAAGAAAAUGUAACACAACCAAUUAUAAAGGAGUCAGAAUUUACGGCUGAAGAAAGAAGAAAGCUUAAUGUUUCUUUAUCGAGGAACGAAACAGGUGUAGCUUACAAACUGUUCACUCCGAAUAUUGAAGAAAAUGAUACUUCUAUGAUAAAUGUAUCCUUAGUUUCUGUCGGUACAAAUGAUUCUUUUAUUAUUGACACCAGAAUUGGUACUGAUGUUUUACAAACACUUACAGGUGGAGUGGGAUAAAUUUGAUCUUAUUAUUUCAUUGGAACAUAUAUAUUUUGUUAUUUAAAAAAUGUCCUUAAAGAUAUUUAAUAAUUUUAAUAUUAAAUUAUGAACAAAAUUAUUAGCUUAAUUAAACGUAUCUAUUGCACAGUGCCAAAAAUUGUAUGAAAAAAUUUGUCCCCUGUUAUACUAAUCAAACUUUCUAAAUUGAAUUUAAAACUUUAAAUCAUUCUUGUAAUCUUUAUGCAUGAGAUCAAUCUUAUGCAACUAGGUUUAUUUAAAGAAAGUAAAGCGUACAAAAUUAUAUAUUCAGAAUUGAAUGUGACAACUUUUAUAUCAAUUAAGUUGUAAAAAUUAUGUGUUAAUAUUUUAAUGGCAAUAAAAUGUUGUAUGUCAAUUUAUUUAUUUAUUUUUUUGUAUAUUGACCCACAAUUAGCACUUUUAAGCAAAGUUUGUUCAAGUGAAAUAAGCUUUAAGGCGUUUAAAAAUAUCCCUUCUAUAACUUAUAUUUUAAUAUUUAUAAUUAAUUAAUUAAUUAAUAAUUUAGUUUUAAAAUUUAUUUUAAUUAAUAUCAUAAGUUCACAUUUUUAGUUAACCUAACCCACCACCUGCCAAAGUAGCAAUAGUUGCACUUCCAACAACUAAUAUGGGAAUUGUUGUGGAAUUUGUUCCUGUUGUUGUUACAUUUGUAGUGGAUGUUUUAGUGUCGUGUGGUUUGAUGAUGCGUAGCGGUGGUAAGA
Molecule: long non-coding RNA, 1273 nt
Organism: Aethina tumida (small hive beetle)
Lineage: Eukaryota; Metazoa; Arthropoda; Insecta; Coleoptera; Nitidulidae
Exons: 3
Source: RefSeq, a predicted model, not a curated record